AUUGAACGCUGGCGGCAGGCCUAACACAUGCAAGUCGAACGGUAGCACAGAGAGCUUGCUCUCGGGUGACGAGUGGCGGACGGGUGAGUAAUGUCUGGGAAACUGCCUGAUGGAGGGGGAUAACUACUGGAAACGGUAGCUAAUACCGCAUAAUGUCGCAAGACCAAAGAGGGGGACCUUCGGGCCUCUUGCCAUCGGAUGUGCCCAGAUGGGAUUAGCUUGUUGGUGAGGUAAAGGCUCACCAGGGGGACGAUCCCUAGCUGGUCUGAGAUGAUGACCAGGCACACUGGAACUGAGACACGGUCCAGACUCCUACGGGAGGCAGCAGUGGGGAAUAUUGCACAAUGGGCGCAAGCCUGAUGCAGCCAUGCCGCGUGUGUGAAGAAGGCCUUCGGGUUGUAAAGCACUUUCAGCGGGGAGGAAGGCGGUGAGUUUAAUAAGCUCACCGAUUGACGUUACCCGCAGAAGAAGCACCGGCUAACUCCGUGCCAGCCGCCGCGGUAA
RNAcentral lists this ribosomal RNA (504 nucleotides) under uncultured bacterium. Its description in RNAcentral is "partial 16S ribosomal RNA". It matches the Rfam family "Bacterial small subunit ribosomal RNA", at positions 30 to 523 of the family's 1533-position model. The record is from RNAcentral.